This 558-nucleotide ribosomal RNA is filed under the name Triticum aestivum (bread wheat). RNAcentral's name for it is "partial small subunit ribosomal RNA". The record is from RNAcentral. Lineage: Eukaryota; Viridiplantae; Streptophyta; Magnoliopsida; Poales; Poaceae.
AUGGAUGACGCGGCUGCCACCCGCCUCCAGUCCUCCUCAUGCUUGCCUCUGGGGUCUGGCUCCAAUGUGAUCGCCAGGACACUCCCGCGAUCUCCUCCUCCGGCAAGCUCCAGUUCUCCCUGUAGACUUCCUAAGCUCGCUUUGGUCCUACCUGAGCAGCCCCUAAUCCUCGACAUCACCCCGACGCCAGCCCGGCCGUGCUCCGCCUCCCACUGCCGUCGACGCAACCGUCGCUUCGGUGCUUCCUCGCCGCGUCCGAGCACGCGUAGAUGCUCUAGUGAUACGCUGGUUACUCUCUCCUCUCCCGAAGCUUCCUCCCCGUACCAUCUAGCUGCCCGCAUAGCGCCACUCCUCAGUCCUCACCUCCGCUGCUGGAAGCCAUCGCCGGCAAAGCUUCGGCCGUCCCGCGUGCCCAUGCUUGCUUUCCCAGCCAUGCGGACACCCAGCUCGCUCGCCAAAAGCGUGCAGCCUCUCCCUACCAGCUCCUGCACCGUCCAGAGCGCCGCCGUCGUGCCCGCUGCCGGAGUUCCUCGCUGCGCCCAACAAAUGUUUGUGUAA